This 25-nucleotide non-coding RNA is filed under the name Cricetulus griseus (Chinese hamster). The record is from RNAcentral. Lineage: Eukaryota; Metazoa; Chordata; Mammalia; Rodentia; Cricetidae.
UGAACCAAGCCUGGUAACGGGUUUU